This 137-nucleotide small RNA is filed under the name Neobacillus jeddahensis. RNAcentral's name for it is "ydaO/yuaA leader". It matches the Rfam family "c-di-AMP riboswitch aptamer (ydaO/yuaA leader)". From Rfam's summary of the family: This family represents a conserved RNA structure found upstream of the ydaO and yuaA genes in Bacillus subtilis and related genes in other bacteria. The ydaO/yuaA element is thought to act as a genetic "off" switch for the ydaO and yuaA genes in its native state. It is believed that the element may be triggered during osmotic shock leading to activation of ydaO, a predicted amino acid transporter gene, and members of the yuaA-yubG operon which code for KtrA and KtrB K+ transporters. Lineage: Bacteria; Bacillati; Bacillota; Bacilli; Caryophanales; Bacillaceae. The record is from RNAcentral.
UUAAAUCGCUGAAACCAAUCAGGUACGGGGGAACCAUUUUUAUGGAUUAAUCAAUAAUCCAUGGGGUGAAUCCAUUCAAGGUAGGGCUACUCUAGGCCCGAACCCGACAGCUAACCUCGUAAGCGUUAUAUGAGAAG